GAUCCUGGCUCAGGAUGAACGCUGGCGGCGUGCCUAAUACAUGCAAGUAGAACGCUGAAGGAGGAGCUUGCUCUUCUGGAUGAGUUGCGAACGGGUGAGUAACGCGUAGGUAACCUGCCUGGUAGCGGGGGAUAACUAUAGGAAACGAUAGCUAAUACCGCAUGACAACAGUUAUUGCAUGAUAACUGUUUAAAGGGGGCAACUGCUCCACUACCAGAUGGAUCUGCGUUGUA
Molecule: ribosomal RNA, 233 nt
Filed under: uncultured bacterium
Lineage: Bacteria
Description: partial 16S ribosomal RNA
Rfam family: Bacterial small subunit ribosomal RNA
Source: RNAcentral